RNAcentral lists this ribosomal RNA (523 nucleotides) under Halomonas sp. RNAcentral's name for it is "bacterial SSU rRNA". It matches the Rfam family "Bacterial small subunit ribosomal RNA", at positions 34 to 557 of the family's 1533-position model. Lineage: Bacteria; Pseudomonadati; Pseudomonadota; Gammaproteobacteria; Oceanospirillales; Halomonadaceae. The record is from RNAcentral.
UGCAGGCGGAGCUACCAUGCAAGUCGAGCGGUAGCACAGAGAAGCUUGCUUCUUGGGUGACGAGCGGCGGACGGGUGAGUAAUGCAUAGGAAUCUGCCCGAUAGUGGGGGAUAACCUGGGGAAACCCAGGCUAAUACCGCAUACGUCCUACGGGAGAAAGGGGGCUCCGGCUCCCGCUAUUGGAUGAGCCUAUGUCGGAUUAGCUAGUUGGUGAGGUAAAGGCUCACCAAGGCAACGAUCCGUAGCUGGUCUGAGAGGAUGAUCAGCCACAUCGGGACUGAGACACGGCCCGAACUCCUACGGGAGGCAGCAGUGGGGAAUAUUGGACAAUGGGCGCAAGCCUGAUCCAGCCAUGCCGCGUGUGUGAAGAAGGCCCUCGGGUUGUAAAGCACUUUCAGCGAGGAAGAACGCCUAGCGGUUAAUACCCGCUAGGAAAGACAUCACUCGCAGAAGAAGCACCGGCUAACUCCGUGCCAGCAGCCGCGGUAAUACGGAGGGUGCAAGCGUUAAUCGGAAUUACUGG